This 564-nucleotide ribosomal RNA is filed under the name uncultured bacterium. Its description in RNAcentral is "partial 16S ribosomal RNA". It matches the Rfam family "Bacterial small subunit ribosomal RNA", at positions 355 to 941 of the family's 1533-position model. The record is from RNAcentral.
UAGGGAAUCUUGCGCAAUGGGCGAAAGCCUGACGCAGCCAUGCCGCGUGAAUGAUGAAGGUCUUAGGAUUGUAAAAUUCUUUCACCGGGGAAGAUAAUGACGGUACCCGGAGAAGAAGCCCCGGCUAACUUCGUGCCAGCAGCCGCGGUAAUACGAAGGGGGCUAGCGUUGCUCGGAAUUACUGGGCGUAAAGGGCGCGUAGGCGGAUAUUUAAGUUGGGGGUGAAAGCCCGGGGCUCAACCUCGGAAUAGCCUUCAAUACUGGAUAUCUUGAGUUCGGGAGAGGUGAGUGGAAUGCCGAGUGUAGAGGUGAAAUUCGUAGAUAUUCGGCGGAACACCAGUGGCGAAGGCGACUCACUGGCCCGAUACUGACGCUGAGGCGCGAAAGCGUGGGGAGCAAACAGGAUUAGAUACCCUGGUAGUCCACGCCGUAAACGAUGAGUGCUAGUUGUCGGCAUGCAUGCAUGUCGGUGACGCAGCUAACGCAUUAAGCACUCCGCCUGGGGAGUACGGUCGCAAGAUUAAAAACUCAAAGGAAAUUGACGGGGGUCAUAGCUGUUUCCUG